Molecule: transfer RNA, 65 nt
Filed under: Apatidelia acuminata
Lineage: Eukaryota; Metazoa; Arthropoda; Insecta; Trichoptera; Apataniidae
Description: tRNA-Asn
Source: RNAcentral
UUAAUUAAAACCAAAUAGAGGUAUAUUAUUGUUAAUAAUAUUAUUGAUUGAAUAAUCUAAUUAAA